GUUCUUUUGAACCUAGCGGCGAAUGGGUGAGUAACACGUGCUUAAUCUACCCUUUAGAUUGGAAUACCCAAUGGAAACAUUGGCUAAUGCCGGAUACGCAUGGAAUCGCAUGAUUCCGUUGUGAAAGGAGCCUUUAAAGCUCCGCUAGAGGAUGAGGGUGCGGAACAUUAGUUAGUUGGUAGGGUAAUGGCCUACCAAGACUAUGAUGUUUAGCCGGGUCGAGAGACUGAACGGCCACAUUGGGACUGAGAUACGGCCCAAACUCCUACGGGAGGCAGCAGUAGGGAAUAUUCCACAAUGAGCGAAAGCUUGAUGGAGCGACACAGCGUGCACGAUGAAGGUCUUCGGAUUGUAAAGUGCUGUUAUAGGGAAAGAACACCUGGUUGAGGAAAUGCUUCCAGGCUGACGGUACCCUGUCAGAAAGCGAUGGCUAACUAUGUGCCAGCAGCCGCGGUAAUACAUAGGUCGCAAGCGUUAUCCGGAAUUAUUGGGCGUAAAGCGUUCGUAGGCUGUUUAUUAAGUCUGGAGUCAAAUCCCAGGGCUCAACCCUGGCUCGCUUUGGAUACUGGUAAACUAGAGUUAGAUAGAGGUAAGCGGAAUUCCAUGUGAAGCGGUGAAAUGCGUAGAUAUAUGGAAGAACACCAAAGGCGAAGGCAGCUUACUGGGUCUAUACUGACGCUGAGGGACGAAAGCGUGGGGAGCAAACAGGAUUAGAUACCCUGGUAGUCCACGCCGUAAACGAUGAUCAUUAGUCGGUGGAGAGUUCACUGACGCAGCUAACGCAUUAAAUGAUCCGCCUGAGUAGUAUGCUCGCAAGAGUGAAACUUAAAGGAAUUGACGGGGACCCGCACAAGCGGUGGAGCAUGUGGUUUAAUUUGAAGAUACGCGGAGAACCUUACCCACUCUUGACAUCCUUCGCAAUGCUAUAGAGAUAUAGCGGAGGUUAACGGAGUGACAGAUGGUGCAUGGUUGUCGUCAGCUCGUGUCGUGAGAUGUUUGGUCAAGUCCUGCAACGAGCGCAACCCCUAUCUUUAGUUACUAACGAGUCAUGUCGAGGACUCUAGAGAUACUGCCUGGGUAACUGGGAGGAAGGUGGGGAUGACGUCAAAUCAUCAUGCCUCUUACGAGUGGGGCAACACACGUGCUACAAUGGUCGGUACAAAGAGAAGCAAUAUGGCGACAUGGAGCAAAUCUCAAAAAGCCGAUCUCAGUUCGGAUUGGAGUCUGCAAUUCGACUCCAUGAAGUCGGAAUCGCUAGUAAUCGCAGAUCAGCUACGCUGCGGUGAAUACGUUCUCGGGUCUUGUACACACCGCCCGUCACACCAUGGGAGCUGGUAAUACCCAAAGUCGGU
This 1352-nucleotide ribosomal RNA is filed under the name Mycoplasmopsis arginini. Its description in RNAcentral is "Mycoplasma arginini partial 16S ribosomal RNA". It matches the Rfam family "Bacterial small subunit ribosomal RNA", at positions 72 to 1431 of the family's 1533-position model. The record is from RNAcentral. Lineage: Bacteria; Bacillati; Mycoplasmatota; Mycoplasmoidales; Metamycoplasmataceae.